UGUGAUGUGCAUGUGGGCUUUCCGAUAUAUGACAGGUGGCCCACACUUACAUCACUUGC
RNAcentral lists this microRNA precursor (59 nucleotides) under Blattella germanica (German cockroach). Its description in RNAcentral is "Bge-Novel-1-P1_pre stem-loop". The record is from RNAcentral. Lineage: Eukaryota; Metazoa; Arthropoda; Insecta; Blattodea; Blattellidae.